This 3721-nucleotide long non-coding RNA is filed under the name Mus musculus (house mouse). RNAcentral describes it as "predicted gene 10635". Lineage: Eukaryota; Metazoa; Chordata; Mammalia; Rodentia; Muridae. The record is from RNAcentral.
UCCCCCUUCCCUUCUCUUCCUUCCCCUCCUUUUCCUUCUUCCUCCUCUUCCCCUCCCCUUCCCCUCCUUUCCCUUCUUUCUCCCCCUCCCAUUCCUCCUUUCUUCCCCCACCCUGCCUUCUCUUCCUUUCCCUUCUGUCCCCGUUAAGAUUAAAUGCAUGUCCAGGUUAGUCCAGGUUGUUUCACAAACAGCUGAAGAUGGAAACUGAGAGAUACCGAUGUCUGAUUCUGGGGAAGUCGCCACUCCCAGAGAAAGAACUAUGAGAAAGACUGCACUGAACAUGGUGCCUGCUCUCUUGUGUGAAGUGGAGACAGAGUGAAGACAGUUCUCACUGACCUGGCAGGAUGAAGAGGACUUCCCAGACAGAGCUAUUACUAGGUCCUGGUUCACAAUAUUGUGUGGAUAGCAGACACUGACAAAUAAAUGAAAAAGGAGUUGGGCUGGGAGCACAUUCUGGAAAUCUAGAAGAUAACAUCCUUAUCUGAAACUCACACUGACAUUUGCACGAGAGAGACGCUUUGUGGCAGCUGAUGACAAAAGCUCAUUAAGAUGACAAAACCAUGAUUCUCUUUGCACUGCUGAUGUUCCAUGAACAUCAGAGGUUACGUUAGCUAUAGAAGCGUCAUGGAAAUCUCUGAACAGUGCUAAGGACUCCCGGACUCUCUAUCCUACAAAUCACUUGUUGUAACACAGCCAGGUCACCAGUAAAUACUUCCCAUUCCCAUGAUUCAAGGUUCAAGAUUUUCAACACAUUUAAAACCAGGAGCAUUGGUAUCCUUUAAUCUUACAAAUCUUUAAAGACAUUUUAUUCUAAGAAGAGCCAAAGGAAAACCCUCUGCAUUUCAAGAACUUCAUUUAGAUGUUUGAUUUUUUUUUUUUAAAUAUGAAUCACCCUACAAGUCUUGUAAAAUACUUGUGUGGAGAGACAACGACCUUUAAGUUUGAAGAAAGGAAUCUUAGAUGUCGCAAAGACCCCACUGAGCCAGUUUUGUUUUAAUUCUCUUUGCAUCAUAGUGUCUUAUUCAAGUCUGGGUUGCAAGAGAGAAGUUGAGUGCAUUUAUGGGUCAUUCUUGUCAGAGACAGAAAAAUACAGACAGCUGCAGAGAAGUGGGACCCAGGAUAACUGCAAUCACAAAUGGACCUCACUGAAAGAAGCGCUUGAACCACCAACCUCUUGUCCAAGCAGAAGAAAUGGAGGCAGACUGCAAAGUAGUUUUUAUGUGGAUGCAUAGCUUCCCUUUCAAAGAAACCACCUGUACCAAUUGACUUUCAAUUUUUCCCAACAUUGCUGCCUGUCCCUCUACAGUCUGGGUCUGGAACAACACCACAAGCUCAGACAAGAUAGAUGCGGUUCUGUUGACCUUACAAGCUGUUGAAAGUAUGGAACAAGGCUUGCAAGACAGUGAAGGAUUUAUACCUUCCUCCUAGUGAUUAAUUUGUUCUCAUGUUCUGGACUUUAAGGCCAGAUUUGAGAGGCAGCAUCAUUGGCUACUGUCCCCAAAACUUGUUCUGUCUCUAUUCCUCCUUCUUGUCCUCAUGAAAACCCUGUCCUCCCUAACAGAAAGUCAUUCAAUGCUAGUGCUUGGGGAAAACAUGGCCAGACUGGGAGGAGCAUGAGAGCUCUGUGGGAAACCCUGAAGGAAUUACAAUAGGGACAGAAUGGAAGGGGUGAGGAAGGGUUAGGGAACUCAAAAUUGGGUGCCACACAGCUACGUGGCCAGUCUGGCAGUUGCAACUAUCCUUUUCCUAGAUCUCAAAGAGGGCAUCCUAGAUUAACAUAAGGUGGACAUAAUACGUUAACUAGUUGCCAUGUCAUCUGUGCAGUGCUUGUAGCUCCGAAGGUGCUUGUGAUAAGAUAAAUCUGUCUGGAAGACUGCCAGCAAACAGCCAUUGCUAGAGAACAUUGGAAAUAGAAAGUGAACCCUACAGCCCAGCCGGCCAUGGAUAAGCUGUGUUUCUUUCCUGUGAUCCCAGCACUGGAUGAGAUGAUGCUAUGACACUUAAGGUAUGAUUUCUAGUAUCACUCCCUCCUGAUAACUGUCACACGGUACAUGUCUGUCAAGAAGAAGAGAGCAAGCUUUUCCUUUCAGUAAGGAAGGAAACAAAUUCUGUUCAUUGGUUUAUCUGCUAAAUGUCCAGAAUCAUCUGACCCCUGGAGGAACCAGACAGAGCAACGGUAUUGUCAUGUCUUCCCCAAAUGCAGAGUAUUUCAAAACAUUUCAGGAAAAGAAAAUAUUAACAGAAACUGCCUAACAAACUCGUGGUGGGAUUUUUAUUUGCUUUUAUAACUAAUGAUAGAUUUUCUUUUAAUUCAGUGUUUGACUUUUUUUUUUUUCUGCAGCUGUAACUUGUGUCCAUUUGUCAAACACCAGAGAACUAUAUCUGCUAAUAUCAUGGUUAUAAAACUGUGUCUAAUAACCUAACCAAAAUGCAUCUUUUUAUUGUGGCAUUAGUGGAAUUUUUUUUGUAGGUUUAGUAAACUAUUCCUAUCCUUUUUUUUUUUUUUUUUAGCUUUGUUUUUGUUUCCCCUUAAGGUUUGAUUUUGGAGAGUUGUCCAUGUCACAUAGCAAAUAAAUUGACCAUGAGACUGUCUGGUGACUUUAGAACAUUGUUUUAUGUUACAUUUCCUUAGCCUAUGGGACAUUUGUUUGCUAUACAUGUUUUAAAAGUAUAUAGUAGCUUGCAUGAAUUCUAAUCAGGAAGACAUAUUUAAAAUUCUUUAUCAGACAAUUUGUCUUUUGUAUAUACUAGGGCUGCAGAUUCUUGUGAGUUACUUUCGUAUCUAGCUACUCUCCUAAAAGUGGGUCAGCUGUAGGAGUGCCCUGGUGGAAAUUUUAGGGUCAUUUAUGCAUAGUAUUUUAUCACCUGCAAGUAAAGAUACUUUGACUUAUUCCUUUCUAAACUGUACCUUGAUCUCUUUUGAUUUUCUUAUUGCUCUAGCUAAUACUUCAAGUACAAUAUUGAAUAGGUAUGGAGAGAGUGAACAACCUUGUCUUGUUCCUGAUUUUAGUGGAAAAGUUUCUGUACAUUUGAGUUAAUGUUGGCUAUGGGCUUGCUUUAAAUUACCUUUACUAUGUCUAGUUAUGUUUCAUGUAUCCCUAGUCUCUCCAGGGCUUUUAUCAUGAAAGGCUGUUAGAUUUUUGUCCAAGACCUUUUCUGCAACUAAUGAGAUGAUUAUGCAGUUUUCUUUCCAUUUAUUUAUACAGUGGAUUGCAUUUGCUGAUAUUCGUCUCUUGAACCAUCCUUGCAUCUCUGGGACAGUCUACUGGAUCAUGAGAGAUAAUCUUUUUGAUGUAUUCUUGGCUUCAGUUUGCAAGUAUUUUAUUGAGUAUUUUUUACACCUAUGUUCAUUAUAGAAAUUGGUCCAUAGAGAGGACAGGGUUUUCAUGAGGACAAGAAGCAGGAAUGGAGACAGAACAAAUUUGGGGGCCAGUGGCCAGUGAUGCUAUCUCUCAAAUCUGUCCUUAAGGUCCAGAUCAUAAGCCCAAGUUGCUAUGAGUGUAAAUCCUUCAUUGUUGCACAAGCAAAGCUUUUUUUCUUUUUUCUUGACAGAAUCUUUAUGUAGUUUGGGUGUCAGGGUAACUGUGUGUUCUCAUUUCUGAAAAUUUAUAUCAUGUUCAGAAAGUCUUCAUGUUCCAAUUACUUAUUUUACUGUUUGUACAGUUUUUUUGAAGAUUUACAUUUAUAAAAUAUAUCUGGAAUAAAGUUCAGUUUUCAACAU